UACGGAGGGGGCGAGCGUUAUUCGGAAUCAUUGGGCGUAAAGGGCGCGUAGGCGGCCCCGUAAGUCUGGGGUGAAAGCCCUCGGCUCAACCGAGGAAUUGCCUUGGAUACUGCGGGGCUCGAGGCUGGAAGAGGGCAGUGGAAUUCCCGGUGUAGCGGUGAAAUGCGUAGAUAUCAAGAGGAACACCAGUGGCGAAGGCGAGUCCCUGGACGAUACCUGACACUGAGGCACGAAAGCCAAGGGAGCAAACAGG
This 253-nucleotide ribosomal RNA is filed under the name uncultured bacterium. RNAcentral's name for it is "partial 16S ribosomal RNA". It matches the Rfam family "Bacterial small subunit ribosomal RNA", at positions 524 to 776 of the family's 1533-position model. The record is from RNAcentral.